UCUCUCUCUCUCUCUGACCUUGGCCUUUUCCAACGAAGGUGAGUUCUAAGGGUGACAGUGGAGGUUUGAGCAAGGGACAGAGGUGACCCAGGGCAAACGCACAGGCUCAGAAUCAGAGGACUGGUCGAACUGGUCCAGCUGUAACUGCCCAUGUAGUCUGACCACGAGCCCUGGGUGUUCUGUGCCAGAGGACUCCUAGGCCAGAAUGGACGUCACCAGGAAGCAGCUGCAUUCAGAUGGUGACUCUUAGGUGACUGGGAUUUUAUAUACCUAGCGUUCUAAAAUCAUCGUUUGUGCCUCAUGAAAAGUGAAAGCAUCAGGAAGUUCGCAUAUUCUUCUCUAUAUUCAACCAGACCAAACUCCGCUUCAGUUAUCUGUGAUUAUGGUCAGGAGUGCAGCAUAGUUUCUCAAGGAGGCUUUUGUUCCAAGCACAGCUGCCAUCCUCUGUCUCAAAGCCAAGAGACAAGCUGAUGGUAGAAAAAGGCAGCUCUUUUCAAGGGAGGGAAGAGAGGGGAUGUUUUCAGGCGGCCUCCAAGGCUGAUGACUCUCCUGCUCUCUAGGCGGUGGCUCCAAGGAAGGAGGCACAUCCCAGGCCAAGAGAGCAGGCGUGGCUGGAACAGAGGAUCCUCACUCAGCAGUGCCUUCAGCAGAGAGGCUGGGGCAUUGCCAGGUGGAGUGAUUUAGCAUCCCGGCCAGGAGGGGGCGCCUGUCCUUCUCCAAAUGCUGCGUUCCGAUCAUCUUGCUCAGCCCUCGGUGGCCAGCAGGUGGCGACGAAACCUGCCCUUGCGGCCUCUUGCCAAGCGCAGGCAGGCGCAGCAUCCCUGCGGUCUUCCCUGCGACCGAAGGCUGUGUUUUUCUCCGGACAGACUGAGGACGUGCCUGUGGGGCUUUGGGACACGGGCCUGGUGGGGCCCCUUGUUCAGAAGAGAAGACCGCCAUCUGAGCCCCAGUUGGAGGAAUGCCUGUUUUCAUUGGCGGCAUCCAGAGUGUCUGCUUGGGGCGUUCCCGCUGAGGCGCUGGUAUCUGCCAGGCGGAGCAGGUAAAGGACCCGACUGUUGCCCCUCACGUUCCAACGGCGCCUCGCAUUGGACCCCUGCCCUGGAAGCUCCACAUGCCUGGGCCGCGGGGUGGCCAAGAAAAGGGGAACCCAUAAAAUAGAGUGUCUGCUUCCCUUCGUCCUCAAGGGCACGGAACUGUCCCCUUCUUCAGGGGUGCAGAAGAGCUUUCCUAACACCCGCGGCAUAUCACCACAGGGGUAGAAUGUCAAAGCAGUAGAUAAGUACUGAACAUGCAAUGGGGCGUCGUUUUCAAACACAUUCGUUUUAAGUCUCAUCUUUGAAGUCUGUCCAAAUCUGAACUGACAAGAAAUUACUUUCCUGGAUUUCAUGGAAAUUAUCUCUAAUAUAUUUAAUAAUCACCUCUUACUUGAGCUUGUAUCCAAAUUCAAAUGUCGCCAUGCAUGUUGGCUUCUCAUAACACAGUAACUGUCUUAAGUAUUUGUAAAUAUUGGGUCAUUGAAAUGUCUUUUGCAGGAUUGCCCUGUGACUAGCAGUGUUAAAAAUAAUACUAGCCAGGCCACUACCAAAUUUUUUAUAAGAAUGUAAUAAAAAUACUGUGAGUCAUUGUAGGAGAUACA
RNAcentral lists this long non-coding RNA (1636 nucleotides) under Sus scrofa (pig). RNAcentral describes it as "lncRNA (ENSSSCG00015080612.1)". Lineage: Eukaryota; Metazoa; Chordata; Mammalia; Artiodactyla; Suidae. The record is from RNAcentral.